This 680-nucleotide ribosomal RNA is filed under the name Salmonella enterica. Its description in RNAcentral is "partial 23S ribosomal RNA". It matches the Rfam family "Bacterial large subunit ribosomal RNA", at positions 2254 to 2925 of the family's 2925-position model. Lineage: Bacteria; Pseudomonadati; Pseudomonadota; Gammaproteobacteria; Enterobacterales; Enterobacteriaceae. The record is from RNAcentral.
GUGUCUGGUGGGUAGUUUGACUGGGGCGGUCUCCUCCUAAAGAGUAACGGAGGAGCACGAAGGUUGGCUAAUCCUGGUCGGACAUCAGGAGGUUAGUGCAAUGGCAUAAGCCAGCUUGACUGCGAGCGUGACGGCGCGAGCAGGUGCGAAAGCAGGUCAUAGUGAUCCGGUGGUUCUGAAUGGAAGGGCCAUCGCUCAACGGAUAAAAGGUACUCCGGGGAUAACAGGCUGAUACCGCCCAAGAGUUCAUAUCGACGGCGGUGUUUGGCACCUCGAUGUCGGCUCAUCACAUCCUGGGGCUGAAGUAGGUCCCAAGGGUAUGGCUGUUCGCCAUUUAAAGUGGUACGCGAGCUGGGUUUAGAACGUCGUGAGACAGUUCGGUCCCUAUCUGCCGUGGGCGCUGGAGAACUGAGGGGGGCUGCUCCUAGUACGAGAGGACCGGAGUGGACGCAUCACUGGUGUUCGGGUUGUCAUGCCAAUGGCACUGCCCGGUAGCUAAAUGCGGAAGAGAUAAGUGCUGAAAGCAUCUAAGCACGAAACUUGCCCCGAGAUGAGUUCUCCCUGAGACUUUAGGUCUCCUGAAGGAACGUUGAAGACGACGACGUUGAUAGGCCGGGUGUGUAAGCGCAGCGAUGCGUUGAGCUAACCGGUACUAAUGAACCGUGAGGCUUAACCUUACA